AGAAGCAAGAACAGGCUGUGUGUCAGAGCUGGGAAGACCUUGGAAAGCAUGCUAACUAGCAGACGGGGCAUAGCGUGGUAUAAGCUACACCUACUGAGAGGCUGGUCCCGGUCAUUGACAGAGCAAGACAGAUCCUACAGAGAUAGGAUAAAGAGCCCAGCAGUAAGCAAAAUUUUGCUUCAUCCUCCACACCCCACACAAGAGUGUGUUUUCUUAGGAGAAAUCAUCAGAAUUGAAUUUGUGAAAAACAGCAGGGCAGAGUCUCUAAAAAUGCAGCCCCUGAAUCAAGACAGGACAGCUGAGUGUUGCUCUUUGGCUUGUGGCAAAACUUGGUUUUAGCUCAAUCUCGUUAUUAUUUCUCCAGAUACUGUUUGUAUUUUGUGUCAUAGAUCUGAAACCUAUUGAUUAACAAACAUCUUGCUCAAUGCUCCAUGCUGAACAACGGCAAUCUGGAAGUCAGGAGCAGUUCAAUGCCGAGAGCGUGUUUCAGGCAAGGCCGCUGACAGACAAGUCAUGUAAUAUGCUAUAAUGUUGUACCAGGGAAAAAGAGACUUGGAUGAUGACUACAGGAAAAAGAGCUAUAAAAGAGCAGGCAGCAGAUUCUUCCUUAUGUAUAUUUGAUCAGCCAGCUGUUGUCGCUCAGUUUCCUUACAGUGGUCAAAUUUCCUUCUAAAAUAAAGAACUUGAGGCUUCAAUUUGAGAAGAAACAGAUUAGUAAGAGCAAGCUUCUAGCCAAGGGAGAAGUUUGAGGAAGAAAUCAAAGCAACGACUCCUGCAGGAGGCAUGGGAAGGUACCGGUGGUGAACUGCUGAAGAAACUGCAUGGGAUCAUGAGAAUGAGGAUGGCAGAAGAAUCCCUGGGGAAGCGAGGAACAGCCCACGCACAGGAGCACCUGAAUCAAGGCCACAGUGAGGAUGCAGCAUUAAUAAGGCAAAAUCGGGUCCAGGCUGAUUUACCAUUAACAUCAUUAACGUACACACCCGCACAUCAGACUGCUUUUCACCAGAUCCUGAUUAGAUGAAGCAGAGGCCAACGAAGAAAUGGAGCCCUUGCCUCUUGGAGAAGUUUGACAAUGUUGCAUUACAGUAGUUGAAGCAAAUUAGUCUUUUCCAGACAGCAAUGUCUUUGCAAUUUUCUUAAAACCAUUCAUUUAAAAAAUGCUUUUCAAAUUACCAUGCAGGCUUCAUAGAACAAUUAUAAGUGCACAAACAAACCCUGUUGCACUGCUGUGCUAAUUACCCUCCAUGCUCCUGAUCUUUCAGGUUGCUGCCGUGUUGCAAUGGAGACUUAGAAGUGAGUUCCUGCUCCAUGUGCUGUAGGAAACAGUAGGUUGCAGAUAUACAGAAGUAAUUUCCUUGUCCGUAGCCAAUUCUGUCCUCAUGGCAGCAGGGUUUUAGAAGUUUCCCACACAACAACAACAACAAAGAUAUACUUUUUCUGUGGAAAAUACAUUUAUUUUUAUAAGCAAUUAUGAAAUUUACUAUUAGCCUAUAUAGCAUUGAUGACAAUAAGGACUCCCAAUGAAACUUCAGUGUGAAUUUGAUGGGAAAAAUGCAUCCUUUUCAUAAAGAUUAAAGUAAAAAUCUGCAUGGAGUAUUUAGCUUGGAAAGGAUGAAUGGAUAUUUCAGUGCUAGUGAUCUGUUUAGUCCAGAGGUGAAGCUGAAACAAAUCCUGCACUAAACACUGAUGCUAUGGGAUAAACCUGACUGCUUCUUUCUUUUCAAUCAGGAAAAGGAAAAAAAAAAAAAAAGUGACCUCUUGAUGUAUGCCUUGACAUAUGUUGAUAUAGAAAUAUUUUAAGUUAAUAUUAUUGAUUAUUUUGUUCACACCACAUUUCAACACUUUUGAUUCCUAUUAUGUUGCUGGAUUCAUCGUUUUCCUGUGUCUGUGCAUUCCAUGGGCAAAUUAGGCUGUAAAUACAUUAACGGUGCAUGCAGCCCUGUCUGUGCUCAUGGAUUUCUCCUCCAUUUUCACAUUGCAUGAAAAGCAGAAACACAUCUACUUUUCAGUAUCCUUCAUAAAUCGUUUUUACUUACUUGUAAACCUGCUGCAGAAUAAAGGAUAACUCUAUUACACUGUA
This is a non-coding RNA of Anas platyrhynchos (mallard), 2080 nucleotides long. NCBI's taxonomy places the organism in Eukaryota, Metazoa, Chordata, Aves, Anseriformes, Anatidae. The record is from RefSeq and is a predicted model, not a curated record.